GAAUGUAUUAUUGACAAACCUGGUUACCUCCAAUAUCAAAACAAAUACAAAUAAAGUAUAAAACUAGCAUUUCAAUGUCAAACUACUUAGAAUGGUUCACCAAACUUGAAAAAUAGAAAAUAAAACUAGAAAUAUGGAAGAAAUAACAAAUAACUCACAAAAUAUCCAAAUAACAUUCUUGGCUCCAAGAUAUGCUUUCAACCCAUUGAGUGUACAAUUGAAGCAAAAGAAUCAACUGCCAGUACAGAUACUCAGCUAGCGAAGCUGAAUAACUUAGAUUCUUCAACAGCCACAUCCACCAUUCUUGACGAACUUGCUAAGUUUUCACUCAAUCCUUCUUUAUCAACCAGAUGCUACAUCAUAACGAAGAAAUGCUAAGACACAAUAAUUGGCAAAAAAAAUAAAAAAAUAAAGCAUUAAAAUUAAAGCAAGCCUAUGCAGAGAGGUCACAUUUCAGUCACAUACUUUAGAAAUUGACCCAGACAAGAUACGUUCCCUUUAAUUUGCAAACCAUCUCCUAAUUACAUGAACUAUAAACCACGAUAUAGAAAUCUUCAAAUGUUAAAAAGAAACUUGUGAUCACAGCAUUAGAUACUCAAGUUCAAGUUCUUCGAAGGAGAAAAAAAUACAUCAAAAAACAUCAGCUUCAACAAAAAUAUUUCAAAUAUCUCAUAUUUACAAGGUAGAUGAUGCAAAAACAUCCAAGUAAUUCAAUUGGCACAAAUGUCCGUGACUACAAAUUUAUGGCAAAGUUUAAAUUGCAACAAGAUUGAUAGUCAUCUAAAUUUGAAAAGGGAUCAAUUGUGUUUUACUUUGUACAAGAACAAAAGCUAUAAUGCUUUGUUAUGCUCUGUUCACUCCAUUGUUAAUUGGGAGAUCUAAAGCAGAGGAAGGCAGAAAAAAGGUUUACUUGUAGUGUGAGUUUGAAUGACAUCGAGCGACCUAACACAAUCCUCUAGUCGAACCACAUGAGUUAAAGCCUAUUUUCCAAAGCAGUUCUUGAAAUUCCCUUAGAACCAUUAACUGCAACAGAACUCUACUCUUUGUAACAUCCAUGAUCAUAUCCUUCCCACUCGUUUGCCUUAAAUUUCGAGAUGCAAGCCCAAGUACCAAAAUAAAUAAUAUAAAAGAGAAGGAAUUAUACACUCAUAAAAAGUCACAGAUGAGCAGAAAAAAUCGGGCAGAAUAAUAAAAUGCAACCAAAAAAAAAAAUGUGAAGCAGCACUUGUUCAAAAAGUGAAAUCAGCACCAAUUAAUUGAGCGAAUUCUUUUUGAAACUCAAAAAUAGAUGCAGCAACAAGGGCAGGCAGUCAUCAACACCAAAAGAGGUGCAAUCACCUUCUCUUUAUAAAACUACACACAGCAACAUGAAACACUAAUCCACAGAACGAUGCUGAACAGGGAAAUAUGGCAGAAACAAAGAUGUAAGGAAUCAGAAAUUAGAGAAAUUAUUCUGAACACAAGGUGGAGGAGAAAAUUUCUCCAAAGUUCAAAUCUUUAAUAUUGACGCCGAAACUCCCAAAGACUUCCAUAUUGGUUCCUAAAUCAUGAUAAUCAAAACCCACAUCUGUGAAAUAAGCAUUAGUCCAAAAAAUUCUUAUCAUAGAUCAAUAAUUACUAGACGAGUACAUUCAAUGCAUGGUAAUUAAUCAACACGAGGAAAUAUUAUAAACCCAUUCUUCAGUCAAAUAUGCUCAUGGAGAAGACUUUCAGAUUUUCUUUCUUUUGUUAUUUUUCCAUCAAGCUUUCUUCAUAACAGAACCCCAAAGACACCAAUUAAAAAACCAGAAAAGCUUCUAAAAUAAAAAGGGCCAUAUGAUUGGCAAGCCAAAUCAAAUUGUUCAUUCACUGUUGGGGGAACUUCAGAAAUUACAGGGUAUUUUAAAGAAAUCCAUUGUACUUAUAUUGUGCAUCAGUAUAGAAGUCAUGGAAACUCCAUAAAACAUAACCUUAAAGUUCCUGUUUAUCAAUUUUUAAAGACCCAUCUGAGUUCAACUGCAAUUGGAUUCAUCCAUUAGACUACCUGCGUUCAACAUUGAUUUCCUUACAACGUCGUUUAAUUCAUUGACGAACUUAGCCCCCAUCAAAUUUCAAACCAAAAAUUCAAUUCUUUAAAUAACCGUAUAGGCAUUCAUCUUAAUCCCAUUAUGCUUAGCAUUGUUCCUUUUUAACCAUAAAAACCCAGUGGACCAACCCUCGUAAAACAAUUAGAAUGUUACCCUGUGAAUAAGAGGCAGAUUCAAUUCUCCGGUGCUAUUGGAAGAGAAGCCUGGGAUUCACAAACCUGUCGCCCUCCAAAACGGCACCGCUGCACUUGACGGCAUUUAUGCUUCCCGUUGCUUGUAGCAGCGACAAUGAGGUGCGGCGAGGGGCGGAGAGUAGCAUUAACGGGAGGCAGAGGCGAGAUUUUGUGGGGGUAGUGGCAGAGGCAUGAAUGUGAAUUCAAUUAUAG
This 2452-nucleotide long non-coding RNA is filed under the name Olea europaea (common olive). Its description in RNAcentral is "long non-coding RNA (OEUR_LNC009395)". Lineage: Eukaryota; Viridiplantae; Streptophyta; Magnoliopsida; Lamiales; Oleaceae. The record is from RNAcentral.